Long non-coding RNA from Pseudophryne corroboree (corroboree frog), 1103 nucleotides. RefSeq lists it as uncharacterized. The record is from RefSeq and is a predicted model, not a curated record. The transcript is spliced from 3 exons. NCBI's taxonomy places the organism in Eukaryota, Metazoa, Chordata, Amphibia, Anura, Myobatrachidae.
UUUUUGUCCGCAGAGGCUACAUGUGACAUCACGCAGCCGCCGCAACCCGCCCCAGCAACGGCCCGGACACACCUCCGUUGUUCGGACUGCACCCCCCAACGUCGCCGCAACGCCGUCCCAUCUCCCCUGACCGCCCCUCGACUGCCUCUGCCUGUCAAUCAGGCAGAGGCGAUAGCACAAGCAGGAACGUCGGAAUGGGGGGACAAGGGGGCAGCUCGCUCCCCCCAAACAUGAGAGAGGCGCAGAUACUGGUGCACAGGAGCGGCAGGCAGCUAGGUGUUACGCACCUGUGUACUAGCGCCUCUUAAUGGGCGCACCGUUUAAUGUCAAAUUGCAGGUUGGGCCUGCAGUCUCAGCAGAUACGCAGCAGUAGCGUAGCAGCCCAGCAUAGAUGCAGUCAUCAUUCCCGGCCCCUCACAGUCUCCUCAGCGUACUGUGAUAGUACUUCCUCCUCCUCCACUGUUGCCAUGCAGCUUCCUCCCCUCCUCUGCUCCGCCCCCGAUCCAUCCCACACUUUGCCUCCAUGCCUGAGUUUGUUUCUGCAGCAGGUUGCAGGGCGGCUGUCUGUCUCUCCCCAUCUAACCUAGCCUUUUGUCCGUCCUGCGGCUCCUCCUCCCCUCCUGAUCCAUGCUGCCAGUGUCUUUAAUUUACUAUUACGGCAGGCUGAUCUGGGGCCACACAGACUACAGCACAAUGACAGUGAUGAGGUGCCCGCCUACCCGCACCUCUAAACGUCGGCGACGCUGCAGCGCUGGCCAGAUAACAGAGUUUAGGUGCUGGGAGGGCACACCUGGAGCAGAGAGGAGCAGAAAACUGAGGAGCCAAAGAGUACACAGGAGGGCACCAAAUGAAAUUUUCGCCAUGGAUCUGCUUGGUCUAGAACCGGCCCUGGAUACACCUCCCGGAUUUCUGCUAGGUCAUUGAGGAUUUCCAUGACCAUAUUAUGGAACAAGUCUGAGAGACAAGUGCUUUUAUACAGUCCACAGAUCUAUGUGACAAUUUCUGAUACAGUAGGGUGCAUUAUUCUUUACAAUUUGCUAAUUUUCUAACAGCCACUGAAGUGAUAACAUUUAUUAAUGUGUAUUAUUUAUAAUAUAAUUCUC